UGUAUUUCGAGUCGCUGGAACUAAAUAAUGAAGCUGCUUUUGUGCAAUAUUCAGCGACGUUACCAGCUGUGUGUUAGACGAAACGAAAAUGCUUUGGUUUUGCAUCGUGUUUUGAGACUGUCAGGGUGACAUGAUGGAUUAAUUGCUGUUUGACUGACAAUAAAUGAACAUGUUUGUGUUUGGAGAUUGCUGAGGUUAUUUUCACAAUUGGGAAAUCCCAACAUAAGUUGACUGCCAGUUUGACCACUGAUCUGCAUAAUAUCAGUGGGAGAGCAUGCUGAAUACCGCAGCUUCUGCACCAUAUGUUUCCUGGCCGAGUGGUUGAAAGUUGCGACCACACAUUCCAUGGGUGAUGAUAUCUACCAAAAUUCUUGGCGGCACAGUUCUACCCUCGUCAGUUGCACUUGUCCGAGUCUUUCUCUGCCUCUCAACCAACUCGAGAUAUUCCCCCCCCCCCAACUGCAUCCCGGCACAGCUUCACAUCAACCCAUCUAAUUAAUUUGUGGGAAAGGUUGACCACACAAAUUUCCUGUUUGGUUGUGGAGAUAGAAUCUUUUUUUUUUGGUGAAAGUUUGAUUUCAGACACUUAAAAAUUGAAAUUGUCAUGUAUUAUUAGGCAUGGCAGGCAUUAGCAAAGCAUCUCAAUCAAGUAUUAAUUAUUUUACUUUGUCAAUGUUAAUUCAUUGUGUAUGCUAUUCACCUGUUUGCCUUGCUUUUUAUAAGAAUGACACAAAAAAGGAAAGCAUUUGUAAAGUAUUAGUUAUUUUUUUUUUAUAUAAUCUUAGACGAGAUGUUUAGUGAAUAUUUGUCAUAAAUUCUUCUUUAACUUGAUCAAAUCUGUCAUAUUUUAUUUAAAACGUGUUAAGUAUAUUUGUGUUACUUUUUAAAUGUUUAUCAUUACUGUUUUAAAUUGUGUUCAUCUGCAGCCAAUGAAUGGUAGGCUAGCGGUGCACAUUUGUAUAGACGAGUUAACGCGUGACGUCACACGCACCUGCAAAGUUUAGACUCCGCCCACUGGUUGGCAAAAAGAGGUGGAAUUCUUAUAAGCGCAUAUAGAGAAGGUUGACAUUAUCAUCGUUUUUAUUGAUACUCAUGA
Long non-coding RNA from Dreissena polymorpha, 1096 nucleotides. RefSeq lists it as uncharacterized. The transcript is spliced from 3 exons. The record is from RefSeq and is a predicted model, not a curated record. NCBI's taxonomy places the organism in Eukaryota, Metazoa, Mollusca, Bivalvia, Myida, Dreissenidae.